GAGGGAUCCUCAGUAUCAAAUUUUUUAAAUGAUCCCGAUAUACUACCCUAAUUUUUACACUUUCAUAAUUAUGGCGCUUCACCUAAAGAGUCACCAUAAGAAUUAGAGCCUGAAACAUUCUAUAUGGUAAUAGUGGCACGAGUCCCUAGCAUCAGCCCAAGGUCAAUCCUUCUUGAACAUCCCCGAUGGUUAAAAAAUAACUCUCCAACAAACUACUCCCAUCAU
RNAcentral lists this long non-coding RNA (225 nucleotides) under Elaeis guineensis (African oil palm). RNAcentral describes it as "long non-coding RNA (EGUI_LNC020680)". Lineage: Eukaryota; Viridiplantae; Streptophyta; Magnoliopsida; Arecales; Arecaceae. The record is from RNAcentral.